Molecule: ribosomal RNA, 644 nt
Filed under: uncultured bacterium
Lineage: Bacteria
Description: bacterial SSU rRNA
Rfam family: Bacterial small subunit ribosomal RNA
Source: RNAcentral
AGAGUUUGAUCCUGGCUCAGGAUGAACGCUAGCGGCAGGCUUAAUACAUGCAAGUCGAGGGGUAGCAGGGUAGCAAUACCGCUGACGACCGGCAAACGGGUGCGGAACACGUACACAACCUUCCUUUUAGUGGGGAAUAGCCCAGAGAAAUUUGGAUUAACACCCCGUAAGAUAUUAGAACGGCAUCGUUUAGAUAUUAUAGGUUUACCGCUAAGAGAUGGGUGUGCGGCUGAUUAGGUAGUUGGCGGAGUAACAGCCCACCAAGCCAACGAUCAGUAGCUGAUGUGAGAGCAUGAUCAGCCACACGGGCACUGAGACACGGGCCCGACUCCUACGGGAGGCAGCAGUAAGGAAUAUUGGACAAUGGACGCAAGUCUGAUCCAGCCAUGCCGCGUGAAGGAUUAAGGCCCUCUGGGUUGUAAACUUCUUUUAUAGGGGACGAAAAAAGGGCUUUCUAGCUCGACUGACGGUACCCUAUGAAUAAGCACCGGCUAACUCCGUGCCAGCAGCCGCGGUAAUACGGAGGGUGCAAGCGUUAUCCGGAUUCACUGGGUUUAAAGGGUGCGUAGGCGGGCAGUUAAGUCAGUGGUGAAAUCUUCGAGCUCAACUCGGAAACUGCCGUUGAUACUAUCUGUCUUGAAUAC